UAAAGUUGUUCUCAGUUCGGAUUGUAGUCUGCAACUCGACUACAUGAAGCUGGAAUCGCUAGUAAUCGUAGAUCAGCAUGCUACGGUGAAUACGUUCCCGGGUCUUGUACACACCGCCCGUCACACCACGAGAGUUUGUAACACCCGAAGCCGGUGGAGUAACCAUUUGGAGCUAGCCGUCGAAGGUGGGACAAAUGAUUGGGGUGAAGUCGUAACAAGGUAGCCGUAUCGGAAGGUGCGGCUGGAUCACCUCCUUU
Molecule: ribosomal RNA, 257 nt
Filed under: Staphylococcus haemolyticus
Lineage: Bacteria; Bacillati; Bacillota; Bacilli; Caryophanales; Staphylococcaceae
Description: partial 16S ribosomal RNA
Rfam family: Bacterial small subunit ribosomal RNA
Source: RNAcentral